UUAAGCGACUAAGCGUACACGGUGGAUGCCCUGGCAGUCAGAGGCGAUGAAGGACGUGCUAAUCUGCGAAAAGCGUCGGUAAGGUGAUAUGAACCGUUAUAGCCGGCGAUGUCCGAAUGGGGAAACCCAGUGCAAUUCGUUGCACUAUCGUUUGAUGAAUACAUAGUCAAACGAGGCGAACCGGGGGAACUGAAACAUCUAAGUACCCCGAGGAAAAGAAAUCAACCGAGAUUCCCCCAGUAGCGGCGAGCGAACGGGGAGCAGCCCGGAGUCUGAAUCAGCUUGUGUGUUAGUGGAAGCGUCUGGAAAGUCGCAGGGUACAGGGUGAUACUCCCGUACACUAAAGCACACAGGUUGUGAACUCGAAGAGUAGGGCGGGACACGUGGUAUCCUGUCUGAAUAUGGGGGGACCAUCCUCCAAGGCUAAAUACUCCUGACUGACCGAUAGUGAACCAGUACCGUGAGGGAAAGGCGAAAAGAACCCCGGCGAGGGGAGUGAAAAAGAACCUGAAACCGUGUACGUACAAGCAGUAGGAGCCUCUUUAUGGGGUGACUGCGUACCUUUUGUAUAAUGGGUCAGCGACUUAUAUUCUGUAGCAAGGUUAACCGUAUAGGGGAGCCGCAGGGAAACCGAGUCUUAACUGGGCGUUAAGUUGCAGGGUAUAGACCCGAAACCCGGUGAUCUAGCCAUGGGCAGGUUGAAGGUUGGGUAACACUAACUGGAGGACCGAACCGACUAAUGUUGAAAAAUUAGCGGAUGACUUGUGGCUGGGGGUGAAAGGCCAAUCAAACCGGGAGAUAGCUGGUUCUCCCCGAAAGCUAUUUAGGUAGCGCCUCGUGAACUCAUCUUCGGGGGUAGAGCACUGUUUCGGCUAGGGGGUCAUCCCGACUUACCAACCCGAUGCAAACUACGAAUACCGAAGAAUGUUAUCACGGGAGACACACGGCGGGUGCUAACGUCCGUCGUGAAGAGGGAAACAACCCAGACCGCCAGCUAAGGUCCCAAAGUCAUGGUUAAGUGGGAAACGAUGUGGGAAGGCCCAGACAGCCAGGAUGUUGGCUUAGAAGCAGCCAUCAUUUAAAGAAAGCGUAAUAGCUCACUGGUCGAGUCGGCCUGCGCGGAAGAUGUAACGGGGCUAAACCAUGCACCGAAGCUGCGGCAGCGACACUAUGUGUUGUUGGGUAGGGGAGCGUUCUGUAAGCCGUUGAAGGUGGCCUGUGAGGGUUGCUGGAGGUAUCAGAAGUGCGAAUGCUGACAUAAGUAACGAUAAUGCGGGUGAAAAACCCGCACGCCGGAAGACCAAGGGUUCCUGUCCAACGUUAAUCGGGGCAGGGUGAGUCGACCCCUAAGGCGAGGCCGAAAGGCGUAGUCGAUGGGAAACAGGUUAAUAUUCCUGUACUCGGUGUUACUGCGAAGGGGGGACGGAGAAGGCUAUGUUGGCCGGGCGACGGUUGUCCCGGUUUAAGCAUGUAGGCGGAUGUUCCAGGUAAAUCCGGAACGUUAUUAACGCUGAGGUGUGAUGACGAGGCACUACGGUGCUGAAGUGACAAAUGCCCUGCUUCCAGGAAAAGCCUCUAAGCAUCAGGUAACAUCAAAUCGUACCCCAAACCGACACAGGUGGUCAGGUAGAGAAUACCAAGGCGCUUGAGAGAACUCGGGUGAAGGAACUAGGCAAAAUGGUGCCGUAACUUCGGGAGAAGGCACGCUGAUAUGUAGGUGAAGUGGUUUACCCAUGGAGCUGAAAUCAGUCGAAGAUACCAGCUGGCUGCAACUGUUUAUUAAAAACACAGCACUGUGCAAACACGAAAGUGGACGUAUACGGUGUGACGCCUGCCCGGUGCCGGAAGGUUAAUUGAUGGGGUUAUCCGUAAGGAGAAGCUCUUGAUCGAAGCCCCGGUAAACGGCGGCCGUAACUAUAACGGUCCUAAGGUAGCGAAAUUCCUUGUCGGGU
Molecule: ribosomal RNA, 1952 nt
Filed under: human gut metagenome
Description: bacterial LSU rRNA
Rfam family: Bacterial large subunit ribosomal RNA
Source: RNAcentral